RNAcentral lists this unclassified non-coding RNA (348 nucleotides) under soil metagenome. RNAcentral describes it as "partial contains 5.8S ribosomal RNA, internal transcribed spacer 2, and large subunit ribosomal RNA". The stretch from base 1 to 120 matches the Rfam family "5.8S ribosomal RNA", at positions 35 to 154 of the family's 154-position model. The record is from RNAcentral.
GAUGAAGAACGAAGCAAAAUGCGAUAAGUAAUGUGAAUUGCAGAAUUCAGUGAAUCAUCGAAUCUUUGAACGCACAUUGCGCCCGCUGGUAUUCCGGCGGGCAUGCCUGUUCGAGCGUCAUUUCAACCCUCAAGCCCCCGGGUUUGGUGUUGGGGAUCGGCUCUGCCCUUCUGGGCGGUGCCGCCCCCGAAAUACAUUGGCGGUCUCGCUGCAGCCUCCAUUGCGUAGUAGCUAACACCUCGCAACUGGAACGCGGCGCGGCCAUGCCGUAAAACCCCAACUUCUGAAUGUUGACCUCGGAUCAGGUAGGAAUACCCGCUGAACUUAAGCAUAUCAAUAAGCGGAGGA